Long non-coding RNA from Polypterus senegalus (gray bichir), 1150 nucleotides. RefSeq lists it as uncharacterized. The transcript is spliced from 5 exons. Lineage: Eukaryota; Metazoa; Chordata; Cladistia; Polypteriformes; Polypteridae. The record is from RefSeq and is a predicted model, not a curated record.
CUCAGCCCACGUGACCAGGCCAAAGUCAAGCUUCAAGACGAUUGGAAAAGGGGUCAGACGUCUAACUUGCUUUCUGCAAACUAGGUUGCAGUUGCCAAAGUCUGCCCCCACAGCAUCCAGCAUAAGGCAGGAACCAAACCAGGAUCAAGUCAUUGGUGUAUGUCAACAGAGAUGCAUCAGCAGAGUGCCAACCGGUUUUGACACUUUCAUCACUCAGCAUCUACAGUAAAUGCAGUCAAAGCUCAAUCUUCAGUAACUUUUAUAGGUCUUCACAUGUGAGGAAGUGGAUAACCAGCCAGUAGUAAAGAUUUACUGAAUGAUUUGGAAAUUAUAGAGGGAGAAGUACUGCUCAGAUUAAACAGGCUGAAAUCAAACAAAUCACCAGGAUCAGAUAAUAUCAUCCUUGAGUGUUCAAGGAAGUUAAAACAUGGAAGAAAAAUAAACAACGUAUCGCGGAGCCAAAAUGGCCCUAGAGUAUUUUCCAGCCCUUGAUGAUGACGUCACUCAGAAGUCAAGAACAAGACGUCACUUCCCCCCUUUAAUUUCCUGUAGCCAUUUCUGUUUCUGUAUAAAUACCCCCCGUUUUAUGUUAUGUUAUGUGUUUUUCGUUGAACCUGCUUGUUUCAGCAUUUAUUUUGACCUGUCUGUUGGACAUUAUAUGGGGUGGUGUAGCGACCCCGGCUGAAUGAUGGUCAACUCUCAAACUGAUGGUUUAUGAAUUUUAUUAUCGUUUCCGUGACCUUUUUUCAUAAACACACCGUAAGAGCUAUAAAAGGCAAAGUACAAGAUAAAAAGCAUGUAAAUAACUUAAAAUAAACAUUCGUAACCUUUGUUUUACAUAUAACCCAGAAAAAAACAAUACCUCAUUCACUUUUCAGCGAUGUGCUUGUUAGUUAACCCCAUAUAUCGCCAUUUUCUUUUCCUAUUCCCGGCAAAACUGCACAAUUAAUUAUGCAAACCAAAGACACCCAAAAUAAAAGUAUCAAAUUAAAAGUCACUCCAACGCUGCUAUUCAAGCCCUACUGAGGCAUCAUGUGUCCUUUACAGGUUCCCCAAAAACUUUAUCUGACUGGCUGUCAUAUUUUUUUUUCCACAGUAUUUACAGUAAUCCCUCCUCGAUCGCGGGGGUUGCGUUCCAGAACCCCCUGCG